This 255-nucleotide ribosomal RNA is filed under the name uncultured bacterium. Its description in RNAcentral is "partial 16S ribosomal RNA". It matches the Rfam family "Bacterial small subunit ribosomal RNA", at positions 524 to 776 of the family's 1533-position model. The record is from RNAcentral.
UACGGGGGGAGCAAGCGUUGUUCGGAUUUACUGGGCGUAAAGGGCGCGUAGGCGGUCGUGACAAGUCAGUUGUGAAAUCUCCGGGCUUAACCCGGAAAGGUCAACUGAUACUGUGCGACUAGAGUGCGGAAGGGGCAACUGGAAUUCUCGGUGUAGCGGUGAAAUGCGUAGAUAUCGAGAGGAACACCUGCGGCGAAGGCGGGUUGCUGGGCCGACACUGACGCUGGAUGCGCGAAAGCCAGGGGAGCGAACGGG